UUUCCGAAGGUGAACCUGCGGAAGGAUCAUUAUUGUAUAACCGAGGUGCGAGGGCUGUCGCUGACCCGAAAGGUCGUGCACGCCCGAGUGCCCUCACACACAUCCAUCUCACCCCUAUGUGCACCACCGCGUGGGUCCCCCUUUGGCUUGUUCGGAGGGGGGCUUACGUUUUCACACAAACUUUGUAUGCAGUGUAGAAUGUAUUUUUUGUUUUUGCGAUCACGCAAUCAAUACAACUUUCAACAACGGAUCUCUUGGCUCUC
This 263-nucleotide unclassified non-coding RNA is filed under the name plant metagenome. RNAcentral's name for it is "partial contains small subunit ribosomal RNA, internal transcribed spacer 1, and 5.8S ribosomal RNA". The record is from RNAcentral.